Molecule: ribosomal RNA, 1287 nt
Filed under: metagenome
Description: SSU rRNA
Rfam family: Eukaryotic small subunit ribosomal RNA
Source: RNAcentral
GAGAGGGAGCAUGAGAAACGGCUACCACAUCUAAGGAAGGCAGCAGGCGCGUAAAUUACCCAAUCCUGACUCAGGGAGGUAGUGACAAGAAAUAGCAAACCGGGAACCUCAUGGUUUCACGGUAUUGCAAUGAGAACAAUUUAAAACCCUUAGCGAGAAUCAAGUGGAGGACAAGUCUGGUGCCAGCACCCGCGGUAAUUCCAGCUCCACUAGCGUAUAUUAAAGUUGUUGCAGUUAAAAAGCUCGUAGUUGAACCUCUGUCUGGGGCUAGUUUUGGCUUUGGUCAGGCCAGUUCUAGGCAUCCGCCUACAAGACUUAGAGGGCAUUCAGUUGUUCACUAGGAGGAGUAGGCAUUUUACUUUGAAAAAAUUAGAGUGUUUAAGGCAGGCAAUCGCCCGCAUAUAUUAGCAUGGAAUAAUAGAAUAGGACACUUUUCCAUUUCGUUGGUUAUUGGAAUCGUGUAAUGAUUAAUAGGGACAGUUGUGGGCAUUUGUAUUUAAUUGUCAGAGGUGAAAUUCUUGGAUUUAUUAAAGACAAACUAAUGCGAAAGCUUUUGCCAAGGAUGUUUUCAUUAAUCAAGAACGAAAGUUAGGGGAUCAAAGACGAUCAGAUACCGUCCUAGUCUUAACUAUAAACUAUUCCGACUCAAUGUUUGACUGGCUUAUAUAACCAGUUGAGCGUUGUAUGAGAAAUCAAAGUCUUUAGGUUCUGGGGGGAGUAUGGUUGCAAAGCUGAAACUUAAAGGAAUUGACGGAAGAGCACAACCAGGAGUGGAUUCUGCGGCUUAAUUUGACUCAAUAUGGGGAAACUUACCAGGUUAAAACAAUAGUGGGAUUGACAGUUUGAGAGCGCUUUCUUGAUUGGUUGGGUGGUGGUGCAUGGCCGUUCUUAGUUGGUGGAGUGAUUUGUCUGCUUAAUUGCGUUAACGAACGAGACCUUAACCUGCUUACUAGACUGGCGAUCAUCAAUCGUUAGCUCUUCUUAGAGGGACUUUGGUUGUUUUAACUCCAAGGAAGUUUGAGGCAAUAACAGGUCUGUGAUGCCCUUAGAUAUCCUGGGCCGCACGCGUCAUACAAUGACUAGUUCAGAAAGUUUUCUCCUGACCCGAAAGGGGAUGGGUAAUCUUGAUAAUACUAGUCGUGUUAGGGAUCGAUCUUUGCAAUUAUAGAUCUUGAACGAGGAAUUCCUAGUAAGUGCGGUUCAUCAGACCGUACUGAUUACGUCCCUGCUCUUUGUACACACCGCCCGUCGCUUCUACCGAGUGGGUGGUCCGGUGAGAUAAUUGAA